UUAAUAAUGGAUUUACGAUGCAAAAGGAACAUGUUAAGAGGGGCAUCUCUUAGUAUGCAUACGCUAUUGACUUGGUACAAAAUUUGUCCAACCAUUGUGUUCCACAAUUUUUAUCUCACGGAAAUGUCUGCAUUAGUUGAUUAAGAUAAUUGUAUCAGUCGAGAAACGCUAAAUGCAAGAAAGACUCUUCUCCUAGUGGUGUGGUAAUGUUUGUAGAGUUAGUAAUGCCAAUUGUCAUUGGCCUGAACUUAAGUCAAGCAAAUAAUCAAGAUGGCAGAUAUGAACAAGAAUGUCUUCUGACAUAAUCGACUGCACUGCGAUAUAAUCCCGGGUAUUAUGCAUAAGCUCUUAUUAGUGCUUUUACUUGCUGAAAAGAAAAACACCGGAAGCGUUUCCAUAACUUUCCCAAGGAAACUUUCCUUUAUCCUAUCUGCCAACUUUGAUUUUUUGUCUUAUAUUCUGAUAUAUGAAUAGUACAUAAUGAUAGGGAAAAGAAUCAUACUAUAUCCCUCAAAAGUAAGCAACCUAAGUUGAAUUCACUAUACUAACUAGAUUGAAGCUUUUGUGGUUGAUACUGUUAGAUGCUCUAUUUGUUGGAUUGAAAGAGUUCAAAGGAAGAAAGAUCCGUAAACCUUGGGGUAUUAUUAGUACGUAGUUUGCUGAUGUUAGUUGCUACAUUCAUUUCAUUUCAUUCACUAGCAGGAUAUGGUUAUUUUUCCAGUGGUGGUGAUGUAAAUGCUUAAAUAUUUUAAAGAGUUUCUAAAGGCACUUCUAGAGAAACAAAAUCAUCAGUGGUUUCUUGGACUUCUCCAAAGGCUGACAAUGCACCCUUGGAAGCUGUUCGCAUAUUGUUGUCCCACAUUGCCCUGAUUACGUUCAACAGAAGCUUCGCAGAGCUGAAACUGUCCAUUAACUUAAGAGGUUUGGAUCUUCAUGCUACAGCGGAAGCUGUGAUCUGUGAAUAUGAAUGGGGGUGACCUUCAGUCAUUGAUGAUGAUGGUAUUGUGUGGCACAACUUCCUUAAAAGGGCUCUCUAUCUGCUGCUGAUGCUCGGAAGAAUGUUAGAAGCUGGAGAUUUGAAACGGAUUGGCAAAGACUUGGUUAGUGAUCCUUCACAGACUUCCUACUUACGAUCAUAUGAGCAAGUGGUAUAAUGUGAAUUCUCACUCCUAUAUGCUGUGCUGAAAGGUUUUACAGCUUUGAGUAAUCGGUAAAUCCCUUCGGUGUUUGCUUGCUAAACUUUGCUGGGUCGAUGAAGAGUUUAGAGGUUCUUACUUAUGGAAGCUGCAGUCAGAGUUGGCUUGGAAUGGUCUAUCCACUGCGGUUGGAAGUCUCGAAAUCAAAGUUUUUGCGAGGUUGAGAUCUUAAUGCAGUUGAUUUUGCUGUUAGAAUGAUAGAGGUUAUUGCUUACUGUUGAGAGUUUGUUCCAUUACUUGAUGAAAGACUCACGGUAUCGAGCAUGUGGGAGGGUAUUGAAUGUACGACUACCAAUCAAAAAUUUUUUAAGUGUUUUCUGUAUUCUUUUGA
Syzygium oleosum is the source of this 1527-nucleotide long non-coding RNA. RefSeq lists it as uncharacterized. NCBI's taxonomy places the organism in Eukaryota, Viridiplantae, Streptophyta, Magnoliopsida, Myrtales, Myrtaceae. The record is from RefSeq and is a predicted model, not a curated record. The transcript has 2 exons.